UUGUCGACUCGUCAUUAGCCCACGCAGGGAGGUUCCACUGUUCGAGUGUCAUAUUGCUGGCCUCUGCAGGCUUUCAAGGGCCAUCCGCCUCACUUUUCUCUCACCGUAUCCGCUUCGCCCUCGCCGUCCUCUCUUCCUCGUCUCGCCCGUUCGGAAACUGCAGCAUGUAGAUCGCCCGUCCUCCGUGCCUACCACGCGAUCCGCGCCGUCGGCGGUGGCCGGUGCUGCUCCAUGGCGGCCCUUUGUCGCGGGUUCGGUUGAGGUCGUCGCUGUGCUGGGAUUUCCGUGUCGGUUGGCCGCGGCUGCUCUUGCUGGUCUGCUGUCUGCUUGUGUUCUUGGCUAGCUGCUGCUGUGGGUUGGCUGUCGUGCGUGUCUUCCUGUCAGAUAAAUCUCUUUGCCUAUUUCAGAUCCCCGCAUGUUCAGCUAUUUUUUUGCAUUUGUUGCCUGUUCUAUUUAAUGGCAUGUUAAACCUGAUCCAUUUUUCUAGCCAGUAGUGCUUUCGUUAUUGCUCUAAAUUUUCAAUUUGGUACCCUUGUAUUUUUCAUCCAAACUUUGUGAGGUGUAAAUCAUUUCUGAACUCGAAAAGCACCGGUACGCUUGUUGUAUGCUUUUUCUCCUGCUUAGUUUUGUUCUUAUUUGGUUACAUUUCAUUGCCGAUAAGAAAAUGUCUUCUUCCUCGUGUUUGUUCUUGCUGCUGAGAAGAGAUGCUUAGUCAAUAAUAGACAUAGAAAGUGAGAUCUACCUGUUGGUUGUGCUGGGUUAAUUCUUUCGUCUAUUUCGGUUGUGGACCAUGAUGCCCGCUCGCUGCUGUUUCUCCUUGCAUUUGGUUCUUUAUGUGUAAAUGAGGUUAGUUUGAUUUUGUAUAUAUGGAUUGUCUUAGCUUUCCAUUGUAUUUGUUGUGUUGUCUUACCUUUGCUCUUGCCUGCAUGCAGUUUUUCACUUAAUGUCUGCAUUUACUGUUUGUUUCAGGAUAUCUGCUGCCGUAAUUUCUUGUCUAUCAGGCUGUGACCUCUCUGCCUGUUCUAUAUCAGUGCAUAGUUAGCUCUUUCUUACACACUCUUUAUUGUUGUUCGUGACUGUGGAUAGCAUAUUCCUAAUAAGAGUGCCCUCUGGGGUUUUCCCUAUCUUGGUGUGUGUCCCCUUCUUGCGCUUAGUUGGUUGCUUCCCACUGUCGGUUGUCAUACCAUUCCUACCUGCGUGAGGUGGGCGCUGAUGGUUCCAUCCUUGGAGCGUGGAGCUUGAGAUCGCUGCUGUCCAGGAGGGAGCCGCGCCCACCCGGUUGGUUCUGAAGCGAUGUUUCUCCAGACAUCGCACUCUGUCUCCAAGCCUCCUGGACCUAGCGACGUAACAGUGUGCCUCUUUCACAUGUGAAGGAAGAAGGCCCUGUUCACUCAAAUAUCGCCUGGCCAUGGGUUAAAAGCUGCAGCAUAGUUUUCCCCUCAAAUUCAGACUGAAGAGGUUGAAUUACACUUGCUUCCUGCUCCGGAUUCUAUGUCUGCCAAGUUUGCUGCUCCUACAACUGACAAAACUUCAACCAAAUUGGGUGUAGCCUACAACUAUGUGACUUGUUUGUUGUCAGCUGGUUAUUUUGUGAGGUUCGGUGUUGAAAUUCUAUGCCUGGAACAAUAUAAGCCGCAAUCAGAAAGUUGAGGAGGAGAGAGGUGAACCGUGCAUGGCUCUGCCAGGAAGACUUUGUCAACUCCUGUCUCGAUGCCGUUAUUUCUAUCUAUGAAAAAGACCUUGCUUGCAUAUCUGUGUUUUGUUUUUCUUUGUGUCCUAAUUAGGUUUACCUUUCCUUGGUACAGUGAUCUCUAAUGACUAUGUUGUGAAAAUGCCCAGCUUAUAUUGAUGAUGACGUUGGUGUUCCUUCUUUGCUUUUGUUGCUAUCGAUCGAAUCAACGAAUGUUAGCUGCUACAAUAUAUUCCCUCGUGUUUCCUGGUUUGAAAAUGCCUAGCUUAUAUUGAUGAUGAUUUUGGUGUUUCUUCUUUGCUUUUGCUUCGAUCGACUCAAUGAAUGUUAGGUGCUACAAUAUAUUCCCUCAUGUUUCCUGGUUUGUUACUCUGUUUGUAAUUUUGUGUGGUUCACUAGGUUUUGUAAAACCUAAGAAAAUAUUAUCAUUUUCCCGCAUAUACAAGAGUUUCAUGGGGUCGUGCGCCAAUGCGCACCAUUGGCGCACCAUUCAUUGACCAAGCACUGAGGUUCCUAUUUCUAUUUUAGGUCCGAAAAAAAGAGUUGUUCUAGAUCUAAAACUAUUAAAAGAGCUAUGCAUGGUACUGUACCUAUUUCUCCUAGCAGUGUGUUCCAGGGAGAGUUGACAGCACACCACAAACUAAGGCCGUACAAGCAACUGCACAAUAGAGUAUGAUAUGCAAGAAUCUGGUCAAGCACCUCAAAGCCCGCGAGUGGCAUUUGACAACUGAAGGUGUUAAUUAUCGUGAUAUUCCCAUGCCCUUGCGGCUUAUGCCACUAGGCAGACUGAUCUUGAUGAUGUUCGUGUUAUGGUGUCCAGCGAGUUAGCUAUGCCUGUUAAUGGAAUAGAUUUGUUCCAGGUCAAAAGAAAACAACUAGCUAGCUUAAAUAUGUUCCCUGAAAAAAAGAGCUAGCUUAAAUAUGCCCUGUUAGGAUAAGUUGAUGAUUUUACCUAAACUUAAAUCUAUUAUUAUUGUAAGCACUAUUUUGGAGAAAUGUCUUUACUCAAAUAGUUUUUCAUGCAUUGUUAAUUU
This is a non-coding RNA of Lolium perenne, 2724 nucleotides long. The record is from RefSeq and is a predicted model, not a curated record. NCBI's taxonomy places the organism in Eukaryota, Viridiplantae, Streptophyta, Magnoliopsida, Poales, Poaceae.